UACGUAGGCGGCUCUGCAAGUUGGGUGUGAAAGCCCGGGGCUCAACCCCGGAACUGCAUUCAAAACUGUGGGGCUAGAGAUCGGAAGAGGUAAGUGGAAUUCCCAGUGUAGAGGUGAAAUUCGUAGAUAUUGGGAAGAACACCGGUGGCGAAGGCGACUUACUGGUCCGAUACUGACGCUGAGGUACGAAAGCAUGGGGGAGCAAACA
Molecule: ribosomal RNA, 208 nt
Filed under: uncultured bacterium
Lineage: Bacteria
Description: partial 16S ribosomal RNA
Rfam family: Bacterial small subunit ribosomal RNA
Source: RNAcentral